CUACGGGUUGCAGCAGUGGGGAAUAUUGGACAAUGGGGGAAACCCUGAUCCAGCAAUGCCGCGUGUGUGAAGAAGGCCUGCGGGUUGUAAAGCACUUUCGGUUGGGAGGACUGCUUCUAGCACUAAUAUUGUUGGAAGUUGACGUUACCUUCAGAAGAAGCACCGGCUAACUCCGGCCAGCAGCCGCGGUAAUACGGGGGGUGCAAGCGUUAAUCGGAAUUACUGGGCGUAAAGCGCGCGUAGGCGGCUAGAUCAGUCGGGUGUGAAAGCCCCGGGCUUAACCUGGGAACUGCAUCCGAUACUGUCUAGCUUGAGUACAGGAGAGGAGAGUGGAAUUCCACAUGUAGCGGUGAAAUGCGUAGAUAUGUGGAGGAACACCAAUGGCGAAGGCAGCUCUCUGGCCUGAUACUGAUGCUGAGGUGCGAAAGCGUGGGGAGCAAACAGGAUUAGAUACCCCUGUAGUC
Molecule: ribosomal RNA, 464 nt
Filed under: uncultured bacterium
Lineage: Bacteria
Description: partial 16S ribosomal RNA
Rfam family: Bacterial small subunit ribosomal RNA
Source: RNAcentral